This 692-nucleotide ribosomal RNA is filed under the name Methylobacterium sp. Its description in RNAcentral is "bacterial SSU rRNA". It matches the Rfam family "Bacterial small subunit ribosomal RNA", at positions 128 to 852 of the family's 1533-position model. Lineage: Bacteria; Pseudomonadati; Pseudomonadota; Alphaproteobacteria; Hyphomicrobiales; Methylobacteriaceae. The record is from RNAcentral.
CCCUUCUGGUUCGGAAUAACUCAGGGAAACUUGAGCUAAUACCGGAUACGCCCUUUUGGGGAAAGGCUUGACUGCCGAAGGAUCGGCCCGCGUCUGAUUAGCUAGUUGGGGAGGUUAUGGCUCACCAAGGCGACGAUCAGUAGCUGUUCUGAGAGGAUGAUCAGCCACACUGGGACUGAGACACGGCCCAGACUCCUACGGGAGGCAGCAGGGGGGAAUAUUGGACAAUGGGGGCAACCCUGAUCCAGCCAUGCCGCGGGAGUGAUGACGGCCUUAGGGUUGUAAAGCUCUUUUCUCCGGGACGAUAAUGACGGUACCGGAGGAAUAAGCCCCGGCUAACUUCGUGCCAGCAGCCGCGGUAAUACGAAGGGGGCUAGCGUUGUUCGGAAUCACUGGGCGUAAAGGGCGCGUAGGCGGUUGAUUUAUUCGAGGGUGAAAGCCCGUGGCUCAACCACGGAAUGGCCUUCGAUACUGUUUGGCUUGAGACCGGAAGAGGACAGCGGAACUGCGAGUGUAGAGGUGAAAUUCGUAGAUAUUCGCAAGAACACCAGUGGGGAAGGCGGCUGUCUGGUCCGUUUCUGACGCUGAGGCGCGAAAGCGUGUGGAGCAAACAGGAUUAGAUACCCCUCGCUAUCCCACGCUGUAAACGAUGAAUGCUAGCCGUUGGGGUGCAUGCACCUCAGUGGCGCCGC